CAGGGAGUCGCUGGUGACUGGUGUUGUUUACUUGUGGAGGCGAACCCAGCUGAGCGGCGGUGUGUGAAUUAAGACGCUGUGUUAGUUUGUAGGUUAGCAGCUACAAAGUUGGACUGGAAAAGAAACACCAUGGCUGGAAAAUUAGAAUUUCCUGAGAGUUUGCCUCCACCACCAAGUCCACCAUGCACCUUACUCCUUGGACCUACAGAUUUUUCCUUCCCAGUGGAAAAAUGUUCAAGUUUUGAUAGUACCUCAAACUCUUCCUGUGAUACUACCAGUAUGACAAAUUGUAGUAUUAGUUAUACUACCAGCAGACAUGCUAGUGAUCAGUGGUUUUAUAGUUCUAGCAGCACUAGUAGUUCUGUGUCUGGAACAUAUCUUGACUCUUUGAGUUUUGAAGAUUAUGGGCCAAUAAUGAGUAAAAAAGAGCAUGAAAGUCUUUAUCCAUUGAUGGAAAUAAUGGAAGGGAAAGAAGUUGUUACAAUUACCACAUCUAACACAGCUCAUACUAGCAACACACUUUCAGUAUCUGUACCUGCAUCAGUAUCACAGUUUUCUUUACCUUAUAAGGGUAUGCAGAUACUGUCCUCAAGAGAAAUAGAUAAAAGCAGUAGUAUGAAAUGUGUACCACAGACUUCUGAAUACAAUGGAACUUUAAACACAGAAACUAAUUUGGAUGCUACUCUGAUGACACCUGGAGCUUUUUUAUCAGAGUCAUUAUAUUUUCGGUAUAAUGGACACAUUCCAUGUAGCUUCAGUCCUUCAAAUACUCCUGCAAGAGGAACAGAUAUUUAUGAAAAUCCUGAUGUCAGUACAAAAGUGAAUACUUGGAGCUAUAAUAGAGGAGAUUGUUCAAGAGCCACUCCACAAAUGUCCCAAUUAAAUUGUAAAGGUUUAAGUCUAAAAGACAAUUUUAAGCCAUUGGAUGUGUUAUUGACUCCAAAGAGAUUUACACAUUCACAAGAUACAGAAUCUAGCAAUGAAAACACAUCCUGUGGAGCUGAAGUGGAUUUGAUAUCAAAUACAGAUGAUUUUGAACAAGAUUUGAAAUGUAUAGAACAACUGGAAGAAGAAGAUCAAAAAGAGACAGACAGACAAGCAUGUCAAAAGAAUUCUUAUUUGGGACGUCUUCCACCAAUUGGAGUAUUUUGGGACAUAGAAAAUUGUCAGGUACCUAAGGGGUUAUCUGCUACACAUGUUGUUCAAGCUAUUAGAACACGGUUCUUCAGUAAUCAUCGGGAAGUGGAGUUCAUGUGUGUGUGUGACACUUUGAAGGAGAACACAACCAUACUUGAAGAAUUGAAUGAUGCUCAGGUAAAUGUCAUGCAUGUUGGCAGCACUGUAAAGAAUGCUGCUGAUGACAAACUUCUACAAAGUAUGCGUCGCUUUGCUGACAUCCAUGGUCCUGGUGCUACUAUUGUCCUCAUAUCUGGUGAUUCCAACUUUGCUACAGAGCUUUAUGAUUUAAGAUACAGGAAAAAUCUCCAUGUGAUACUUGUACACAAUGCUCAUGCUCAAGAUUCCCUGAAGCUUUCAGCACAUGAAACAGCAUUGUUCACGGAGGUUACGCAACAGCUACCACAGCGUGCUAUGAAAUCAAAGGCCGUGGGUCCAACCAGCCCAGGACCCCAAUUCAUCAUGAGUGUCACUACGGUGACCCCCUACAGGCAAGGAGUCAUCAUUCUCCACCUUAUUACAAGUUUUGUAAAUUGUAGAUGAACAAAAUAAAUUACAAUGGUAUCUAGCAUGCAGGAAUAGAUAAACAUGGGCGUUUAUUUGCUUGUUUAUUAUGUCAUAUGUGUAUUCAUCCGCACAUCCAUACGGGAACUAGGAUUCAACUGCCGUUACGGUCUCAAAAAAUGUGAGUGGCUUUCUACGGAAAGACGUACUGGUAAGAAACUUACCUAAAGGAAUAGAAGAGUCAGCUGUGCGUCGUCGCCUCAAUAUGCUGUCAGCAAACUGUGGGGGUAAAGUUGGACGUGUAUCAGCAAAUUCUGCCACCAUA
RNAcentral lists this unclassified non-coding RNA (2005 nucleotides) under Portunus trituberculatus (swimming crab). RNAcentral's name for it is "uncharacterized LOC123517105, transcript variant X3". The record is from RNAcentral. Lineage: Eukaryota; Metazoa; Arthropoda; Malacostraca; Decapoda; Portunidae.